CCGCCCUGGACGCUGAGAAUGUGUGGAGGGAUCCUGAGGGCAGGACGCGGGACAGCGCGAGGAGAAACGAGGAGAGUUAGGGUUGGCUGGGAGGGUGCGAAAAUGACGCGACCACUGGAGGCUGUGAGGGUGAAAGGAGUAAGAAUCGUCUAGAGACGGGCUGGGCCGGUGCUGGGGCCAAAGGCGUCUGUCUGUCAGGCCCUUUUUGGCGCUCACUCUAGUCUAGAAAGAAGAGACGGAGACGCGAAGAGAUCGGAGUUCAACAAUUUUUAUGAAUUUCUAAUCCAACCUCAUCAUUCUAUGGGAAACAGAAGACCACCAAGAACAGCCAGCUGAGACAGGAUUUCACUGUGUUACCCAAGCCAGUCUUAAACUCCUGGUCUCAAGAGAUCCUCCGCCUCGGCCUCCCACUGUGCCUGGCCUAUGGACUCUCAAUUUUUUAAAAAGACUGGAAAAAACUUUUAUAAGAGAAUUGGAAAUUUGGACAAUGGACUCUCAUUCUGUCACCAGGUUGAAGUGCAGUGAUGUGAUCUUGGCUCACUGCAACCUCCACCCGCUGGGUUCAAGCUAUUCUCCUGCCUCAGCCUCCCGAGUAGCUGGGAUUACAGGUAUCUUGGCAGUAACCUCCUCCAUAUAUUUCCUUGGCCCUCAGCUUACAUCUGGCAAAAUGACUCUAUUGGUUCCAGGCUUCGCAUCCAUACAACAUGGUGUUGGAGGAACAGAGAU
Molecule: non-coding RNA, 726 nt
Filed under: Pongo abelii (Sumatran orangutan)
Lineage: Eukaryota; Metazoa; Chordata; Mammalia; Primates; Hominidae
Source: RNAcentral